Papaver somniferum (opium poppy) is the source of this 921-nucleotide long non-coding RNA. RefSeq lists it as uncharacterized. The record is from RefSeq and is a predicted model, not a curated record. NCBI's taxonomy places the organism in Eukaryota, Viridiplantae, Streptophyta, Magnoliopsida, Ranunculales, Papaveraceae. The transcript has 7 exons.
CUCGUUCUCCCCUGUGAGUUUUCCAUGUUUCUACUACCACCACCAUUGUUAUCAUCAAGAUCAAAAUCAAACCCUUAUUGUCUUCGUCGAGGAACAAAGAUGUAGAUUAUCAAACAGAAUCAAUAAAUGGGUUUGUUUUAGUUAAGGUUUGGAAUUGGCUCAUUAAUGGAUUCGAGUUUCAUGGAUUAGGGUUUCUAAUAAAUUGGGGAUUUAGGCUUCAUGGAUUUGAAUUACAGAUGAAAAAGAUGAAACUUAUGAUGAAAAAGAUGAAACUGAUGGUGAGAAACUAAAAGAAGAAGAUUGAGUUUGUGUUCUGAGGCGCCAUCCAAAUUCUCGUGCUUUGGAUGUAUACAAGGAGGUUGAGGAGUUGCUGAAAGAAGAACCACAUGUGGAGUUCAGUGGCGAGGUUCCAAGAAGGUCAUGGAUGUAUGGAGGCAAAGCUCUUGACCUUAGAAGACAACAAUCUCGUUCAUAGGCAAAAGCAGUAAUCACCCCUUGAUAUGCUGCUGCAAAAGAAAGCCUUCUCACAUAGACUUAGGAUUUUGAUUUUCAGGAAUUGGAAAAGGAACAUACUGCGGAAGGUGUACAAGCAGCUGAAAGCUUUGUGGUCCUUGAAGGCUACAAGUAGUUGGGAGGGAACCUCAGAUUGAUAAAAUAUUGAUGAUUCCUUUGUAUAGUUGGGAUUUAGGAGGGAAUCACAACUGGAAACUGGACUGUAACACUCCCUCCCUGCUCACCCUAUGUUUCUCUACUGAGAUUUCUUUAUUUGGCUGUUACUUGUCAUUAUUUGAAAGCAAAACAAUUUAGGAAAGAACUCUAUGUUUGCUAUUAGUUACAUCCUUUCUCAUUCCUUAUAAACCGAAGAGUAAACCCAUGUAUGCCUUCUUUUGAAUUGGAAGAUUUCUUUGUUCAAUAAUAAAC